UACGUAGGGUGCAAGCGUUAAUCGGAAUUACUGGGCGUAAAGCGUGCGCAGGCGGUUGUGCAAGACAGAUGUGAAAUCCCCGGGCUCAACCUGGGAACCUGCAUUUGUGACUGCACGGCUGGAGUGCGGCAGAGGGGGAUGGAAUUCCGCGUGUAGCAGUGAAAUGCGUAGAUAUGCGGAGGAACACCGAUGGCGAAGGCAAUCCCUGG
This 209-nucleotide ribosomal RNA is filed under the name uncultured bacterium. Its description in RNAcentral is "partial 16S ribosomal RNA". It matches the Rfam family "Bacterial small subunit ribosomal RNA", at positions 524 to 732 of the family's 1533-position model. The record is from RNAcentral.